AGUCGAGCGAGMCCKUCGGGUCUAGCGGCGGACGGGUGAGUAACGCGUGGSMNCGUGCCCUUUGCUACGGAAUAGUCCCGGGAAACUGGGUUUAAUACCGUAUGUGCCCUUCGGGGGARAGAUUUAUCGGCAAAGGAUCGGCCCGCGUUGGAUUWGGUAGUUGGKGGGGUAAUGGCCUACSAAGCCGACGAUCCAUWGSUGGUUUGAGAGGAUGAYCAGCCACACUGGGACUGAGACAYKNNCNNRACUCMNACGGGAGGCAGCAGUGGGGAAUCUUAGACAAUGGGGGCAACCCUGAUCUAGCCAUGCCGCGUGAGUGAUGAAGGCCUUAGGGUUGUAAAGCUCUUUCAGSKGGGAAGAUAAUGACGGUACCAGCAGAAGAAGCCCCGGCUAACUCCGUGCCAGCAGCCGCGGUAAUACGGAGGGGGCUAGCGUUGUUCGGAAUUACUGGGCGUAAAGCGCACGUAGGCGGACUGGAAAGUUGGGGGUGAAAUCCCGGGGCUCAACCUCGGAACUGCCUUCAAAACUAUCAGUCUGGAGUUCGAGAGAGGNNANUGGAAUACCGAGUGUNGAGGUGAAAUUCGUAGAUAUUCGGUGGNNCNCCAGUGGCGAAGGCGGCUCACUGGCUCGAUACUGACGCUGAGGUGCGAAAGCGUGGGGAGCAAACAGGAUUAGAUA
RNAcentral lists this ribosomal RNA (678 nucleotides) under bacterium RH17SAN. RNAcentral describes it as "partial 16S ribosomal RNA". It matches the Rfam family "Bacterial small subunit ribosomal RNA", at positions 60 to 784 of the family's 1533-position model. The record is from RNAcentral.